This 335-nucleotide ribosomal RNA is filed under the name Enterococcus faecium. Its description in RNAcentral is "partial 16S ribosomal RNA". It matches the Rfam family "Bacterial small subunit ribosomal RNA", at positions 1 to 314 of the family's 1533-position model. Lineage: Bacteria; Bacillati; Bacillota; Bacilli; Lactobacillales; Enterococcaceae. The record is from RNAcentral. RNAcentral also lists the same sequence under 1 other name.
UUUUAUGAGAGUUUGAUCCUGGCUCAGGACGAACGCUGGCGGCGUGCCUAAUACAUGCAAGUCGAACGCUUCUUUUUCCACCGGAGCUUGCUCCACCGGAAAAAGAGGAGUGGCGAACGGGUGAGUAACACGUGGGUAACCUGCCCAUCAGAAGGGGAUAACACUUGGAAACAGGUGCUAAUACCGUAUAACAAUCGAAACCGCAUGGUUUUGAUUUGAAAGGCGCUUUCGGGUGUCGCUGAUGGAUGGACCCGCGGUGCAUUAGCUAGUUGGUGAGGUAACGGCUCACCAAGGCCACGAUGCAUAGCCGACCUGAGAGGGUGAUCGGCCACAUU